CAAGAAAAUGCGUCACCAAUCUAAAAAUCGAAGAAAAUUUUUCAUGAAUGAUCCAAUUAAUUUAACUUUUUUAAGUCAACGUUUGCAUCUCUCAGAUAGAAACAAGAUCGACAAGGCGUUCAUCGAGAAUGAAAAAGAGAUGAUAAGAAAAUGAAAAAUAAAGAGAAGAAGAUCCUCGCGGGAACGUAUGGGAUUUCUGACGGUCGAUCACCAAGGAUUCGUUCUAACGUGAAAUCGGAUCCAACCGCGGCAACGACGUUAGAGGCGUUCUCGAGUCGACGGGCUUCUAGCCUUACGGAUGAAGGAACGAAGGGUGUAACGGUAAACUAGCUUCCGAAUCGGUUGGUUACACCUUCAGGAAACCGAUACCUCUUUGAUUCUUCGUGUAAACAAACCACACGAGCAACCAACUUCCAUGUCUCCUACUACAAAAGAUCCUCGUCCUACUACGAUUUUCGAUUCUUCCUAGGACAAUAAAUCAAAGAUAGCUACAUACAUAUAUCCGAUUGGAGGAACCGCAGCACGAUUUGGUGGGCACAACUAAGGAGCCAAGCACUCAAACACGCUUCCCGUCUGUUUACAAACUGCUACGGCGUCGUUUCCAUCCCCUUGCCUUCGCUUACUCAUAGAGAGCUACGUCUAGACGAAGAAAAUCUCUCCUUGCUCCUGUUCCGAUGUCUUGCUUAAGAUAAUGAAUAGUACCCUUGUGAAUAAUAACAGCGAAUACGCAUAGGACAACGAAAUAAAAGGAGAAUGUGGUAACUGUGCGAGGAGAAGGCGCUUUAGCGAUUUAACGUAAACACACGUAGCAAUUUGUCUCUGGGUUUAUGUCGCCCUUGGGGGAAAAAGGAACCCACGCGUUAGUUCCACGUACGAUGAAGGAGGACGAAGAGGAGGGGAGGAAGAAAAGGAAAGGAGAAUGCUCGCGCACGUUUUUGCAGAGAGUAAAGAAGAGUUGGUCGUAAAGAGGAAGAAGAAGAAGAAGAAGAAGAAGAAGAAGAAGAAGAAGAUAAAGAAGAAAGGAAAGAAGAGAAGAGGAGUCUCGCGAAAUGGGGAGAGAACAAUCUGCUGGUCGUUGUCUUACUUCUUGCUUAGCCUCCGGGAGAAGGGGUAAGGAAGAGGGGGAGAGGAGGAAGGAAGAAAAUGUGCAUUUCGUUGCCAGCCACGAAACAACCAAGUCUCUUCUUCUUUUCGCCACAGGCUGCUUCUUUUCAGUCCGCAGACUAAUUGCGAUCGCUAAUUUCGUGCUUCUGACCCACCCCUUUGAAAACAAAAAGAAACGAAAAGGAAGAAAGAAAAGAAAGGGAUGAAACGAAGAUGUCUAACUUGCUGUUUUGCAAAUGAAAAAGGGGGUAGGGUAGAGAAGAAAAGAAAUGAAAGUAUUAUUUCCUCGACUAGAAGAUGAU
Long non-coding RNA from Polistes canadensis, 1406 nucleotides. RefSeq lists it as uncharacterized. NCBI's taxonomy places the organism in Eukaryota, Metazoa, Arthropoda, Insecta, Hymenoptera, Vespidae. The record is from RefSeq and is a predicted model, not a curated record. The transcript is spliced from 3 exons.